UAACAACGCAGAGUACAAGGCAAAAAACGCUGUUUUUCGGUAAUUUUUGUGUUUCCGAGCAAAAUUAGCUCGCCCCAGUCCUUUUUGAAAGUUUAGAGCAUAAACAAAAAGAAAAACACUUUGCAAAAUAUUUCAAAAAGUUAGCAAAAAAAUAUUUUGAGUUAGUUUU
Molecule: long non-coding RNA, 169 nt
Organism: Xenia sp. Carnegie-2017
Lineage: Eukaryota; Metazoa; Cnidaria; Anthozoa; Malacalcyonacea; Xeniidae
Exons: 3
Source: RefSeq, a predicted model, not a curated record